AGUCGACGGGAAGACUGAAGAGCUUGCUCUUUAUGAAAUCCAGUGGCAAACGGGUGGGUAACACGUAAACAACCUGCCUUCAGGAUGGGGACAACAGACGGAAACGACUGCUAAUACCGAAUACGAUUCUUGAGUCGCAUGACACAAGAAAGAAAGGGUGGCCUCUACUUGUAAGCUAUCGCCUGAAGAGGGGUUUGCGUCCGAUUAGGUAGUUGGUGAGGUAACGGCCCACCAAGCCGACGAUCGGUAGCCGGUCUGAGAGGAUGAACGGCCACAUUGGAACUGAGACACGGUCCAGACUCCUACGGGAGGCAGCAGUGGGGAAUCUUCCGCAAUGGGCGAAAGCCUGACGGAGCAACGCCGCGUGAGUGAAGACGGCCUUCGGGUUGUAAAACUCUGUGAUUCGGGACGAAAGAUAAGUAGACGAAUAAUCUGCAUAAGUGACGGUACCGAAAAAGCAAGCCACGGCUAACUACGUGCCAGCAGCCGCGGUAAUACGUAGGUGGCAAGCGUUGUCCGGAAUUAUUGGGCGUAAAGCGCGCGCAGGCGGCUACUUAAGUCCAUCUUAAAAGUGCGGGGCUUAACCCCGUGAUGGGAUGGAAACUGAGAAGCUGGAGUGUCGGAGAGGAAAGUGGAAUUCCUAGUGUAGCGGUGAAAUGCGUAGAGAUUAGGAAGAACACCGGUGGCGAAGGCGACUUUCUGGACGACAACUGACGCUUAGGCGCGAAAGCGUGGGGAGCAAACAGGAUUAGAUACCCUGGUAGUCCACGCCGUANACGAUGGAUACUAGGUGUAGGAGGUAUCGACCCCUUCUGUGCC
This 819-nucleotide ribosomal RNA is filed under the name uncultured bacterium. Its description in RNAcentral is "bacterial SSU rRNA". It matches the Rfam family "Bacterial small subunit ribosomal RNA", at positions 60 to 847 of the family's 1533-position model. The record is from RNAcentral.